ACUCCUACGGGAGGCAGCAGUGGGAAUAUUGCACAAUGGGGAAGCCAUCGAUGCAGCCAUGCCGCGCUGUGUGAAGAAGGCCAAUUCGGGCUUUGGUUAAAGACACUUUUCAGUAGGGAGGAAGGUAGUGUAGUUAACACCUGCAUUAUUUGACGUUACCUACAGAAGAAGCACCGGCUAACUCCGUGCCAGCAGCCGCGGUAAUACGGAGGGUGCGAGCGUUAAUCGGAAUUACUGGGCGUAAAGCGCAUGCAGGCGGCCUGUUAAGUCAGAUGUGAAAGCCCGGGCUUAAGCCU
RNAcentral lists this ribosomal RNA (296 nucleotides) under uncultured bacterium. RNAcentral describes it as "partial 16S ribosomal RNA". It matches the Rfam family "Bacterial small subunit ribosomal RNA", at positions 335 to 616 of the family's 1533-position model. The record is from RNAcentral.